CAGCGACGCCGCGUGAGGGAUGACGGCCUUCGGGUUGUAAACCUCUUUCAGUAGGGAAGAAGCGAAAGUGACGGUACCUGCAGAAGAAGCGCCGGCUAACUACGUGCCAGCAGCCGCGGUAAUACGUAGGGCGCAAGCGUUAUCCGGAAUUAUUGGGCGUAAAGAGCUCGUAGGCGGUUUGUCGCGUCUGCUGUGAAAGACCGGGGCUCAACUCCGGUUCUGCAGUGGGUACGGGCAGACUAGAGUGCAGUAGGGGAGACUGGAAUUCCUGGUGUAGCGGUGAAAUGCGCAGAUAUCAGGAGGAACACCGAUGGCGAAGGCAGGUCUCUGGGCUGUAACUGACGCUGAGGAGCGAAAGCAUGGGGAGCGAACAGGAUUAGAUACCCUGGUAGUCCAUGCCGUAAACGUUGGGCACUAGGUGUGGGGGACAUUCCACGUUUUCCGCGCCGUAGCUAACGCAUUAAGUGCCCCGCCUGGGGAGUACGGCCGCAAGGCUAAAACUCAAAGGAAUUGACGGGGGCCCGCACAAGCGGCGGAGCAUGCGGAUUAAUUCGAUGCAACGCGAAGAACCUUACCAAGGCUUGACAUGAACCGGAAAGACCUGGAAACAGGUGCCCCGCUUGCGGUCGGUUUACAGGUGGUGCAUGGUUGUCGUCAGCUCGUGUCGUGAGAUGUUGGGUUAAGUCCCGCAACGAGCGCAACCCUCGUUCUAUGUUGCCAGCGCGUUAUGGCGGGAACUCAUA
This 743-nucleotide ribosomal RNA is filed under the name Paenarthrobacter nitroguajacolicus. Its description in RNAcentral is "bacterial SSU rRNA". It matches the Rfam family "Bacterial small subunit ribosomal RNA", at positions 389 to 1143 of the family's 1533-position model. The record is from RNAcentral. Lineage: Bacteria; Bacillati; Actinomycetota; Actinomycetes; Micrococcales; Micrococcaceae.